UCUACGGGAGGCAGCAGUGAGGAAUAUUGGUCAAUGGCCGGAAGGCUGAACCAGCCAUGCCGCGUGAAGGUCAGUGCCCUAUGGGCGUUAAACUUCUUUUGUGCGGGAGCAAUAAUGGUCACGUGUGGCCAGACGAGAGUACCGUACGAAUAAGCAUCGGCUAACUCCGUGCCAGCAGCCGCGGUAAUACGGGGGAUGCAAGCGUUAUCCGGAUUAAUUGGGUUUAAAGGGUGCGUAGGCUGUGAGGUACGUCAGCGGUGAAAUGCCCCCGCUCAACGGGGUGAAGUGCCAUUGAUACUGCCGUGCUGGAAUGCGGAUGCCGUGGGAGGAAUGUGUGGUGUAGCGGUGAAAUGCAUAGAUAUCACACAGAACUCCGAUUGCGAAGGCAGCAUACCGGCGCCCAACUGACGCUGAAGCACGAAAGCGUGGGUAUCGAACAGGAUUAGAUACCCGAGUAGUC
Molecule: ribosomal RNA, 460 nt
Filed under: uncultured bacterium
Lineage: Bacteria
Description: partial 16S ribosomal RNA
Rfam family: Bacterial small subunit ribosomal RNA
Source: RNAcentral